This 249-nucleotide ribosomal RNA is filed under the name uncultured bacterium. RNAcentral's name for it is "partial 16S ribosomal RNA". It matches the Rfam family "Bacterial small subunit ribosomal RNA", at positions 355 to 596 of the family's 1533-position model. The record is from RNAcentral.
UGGGGAAUCUUGCGCAAUGCGCGAAAGCGUGACGCAGCAACGCCGCGUGGGGGAAGACGGCUUUCGAGUUGUAAACCCCUUUCAGUUGGGACGAAGCUUCGUCGGUUAAUAGCCGACUGGAGUGACGGUACCUUCAGAAGAAGCCCCGGCUAACUACGUGCCAGCAGCCGCGGUAAUACGUAGGGGGCAAGCGUUGUCCGGAAUCAUUGGGCGUAAAGAGCGUGUAGGUGGGCCGAUAAGUCUGCCGGG